RNAcentral lists this ribosomal RNA (1312 nucleotides) under Pseudarthrobacter scleromae. RNAcentral's name for it is "bacterial SSU rRNA". It matches the Rfam family "Bacterial small subunit ribosomal RNA", at positions 97 to 1419 of the family's 1533-position model. The record is from RNAcentral. Lineage: Bacteria; Bacillati; Actinomycetota; Actinomycetes; Micrococcales; Micrococcaceae.
GGCGAACGGGUGAGUAACACGUGAGUAACCUGCCCUUAACUCUGGGAUAAGCCUGGGAAACUGGGUCUAAUACCGGAUAUGACUUCUCAUCGCAUGGUGGGGGGUGGAAAGCUUUAUUGUGGUUUUGGAUGGACUCGCGGCCUAUCAGCUUGUUGGUGAGGUAAUGGCUCACCAAGGCGACGACGGGUAGCCGGCCUGAGAGGGUGACCGGCCACACUGGGACUGAGACACGGCCCAGACUCCUACGGGAGGCAGCAGUGGGGAAUAUUGCACAAUGGGCGAAAGCCUGAUGCAGCGACGCCGCGUGAGGGAUGACGGCCUUCGGGUUGUAAACCUCUUUCAGUAGGGAAGAAGCGAAAGUGACGGUACCUGCAGAAGAAGCGCCGGCUAACUACGUGCCAGCAGCCGCGGUAAUACGUAGGGCGCAAGCGUUAUCCGGAAUUAUUGGGCGUAAAGAGCUCGUAGGCGGUUUGUCGCGUCUGCCGUGAAAGUCCGGGGCUCAACUCCGGAUCUGCGGUGGGUACGGGCAGACUAGAGUGAUGUAGGGGAGACUGGAAUUCCUGGUGUAGCGGUGAAAUGCGCAGAUAUCAGGAGGAACACCGAUGGCGAAGGCAGGUCUCUGGGCAUUAACUGACGCUGAGGAGCGAAAGCAUGGGGAGCGAACAGGAUUAGAUACCCUGGUAGUCCAUGCCGUAAACGUUGGGCACUAGGUGUGGGGGACAUUCCACGUUUUCCGCGCCGUAGCUAACGCAUUAAGUGCCCCGCCUGGGGAGUACGGCCGCAAGGCUAAAACUCAAAGGAAUUGACGGGGGCCCGCACAAGCGGCGGAGCAUGCGGAUUAAUUCGAUGCAACGCGAAGAACCUUACCAAGGCUUGACAUGAACCGGAAACACCUGGAAACAGGUGCCCCGCUUGCGGUCGGUUUACAGGUGGUGCAUGGUUGUCGUCAGCUCGUGUCGUGAGAUGUUGGGUUAAGUCCCGCAACGAGCGCAACCCUCGUUCUAUGUUGCCAGCGCGUUAUGGCGGGGACUCAUAGGAGACUGCCGGGGUCAACUCGGAGGAAGGUGGGGACGACGUCAAAUCAUCAUGCCCCUUAUGUCUUGGGCUUCACGCAUGCUACAAUGGCCGGUACAAAGGGUUGCGAUACUGUGAGGUGGAGCUAAUCCCAAAAAGCCGGUCUCAGUUCGGAUUGGGGUCUGCAACUCGACCCCAUGAAGUCGGAGUCGCUAGUAAUCGCAGAUCAGCAACGCUGCGGUGAAUACGUUCCCGGGCCUUGUACACACCGCCCGUCAAGUCACGAAAGUUGGUAACA